Molecule: ribosomal RNA, 379 nt
Filed under: uncultured archaeon
Lineage: Archaea
Description: bacterial SSU rRNA
Rfam family: Archaeal small subunit ribosomal RNA
Source: RNAcentral
UAACACGUACUCCAUGAGUGGUGUCCACUUAUACUGGGCUUAAAACGCCCGUAGCCUGCCUGAAAAGUCCUUGGUGAAAUCAAUUCGCUUAACGGAUUGGCUUGCCAGGGAUACUGCUAGGCUCGAGGCCGGGAGAGGUCAGGGGAAUUUCUGGGGUAGCGGUGAAAUGCUAAGAUCCCGGAAAGACCUCCAGUAGCGAAGGCGCCUGACCAGAACGGACCUGACGGUGAGGGACGAAAGCCAGGGGAGCGACCCGGAUUAGAUACCCGGUUAGUCCUGGCCGUAAACGAUGCGGACUAGGUGUUCCCGUCUCAUUGAUACGGGAGUGCCGAAGGGAAACCGCUAAGUCCGCUGCCUGGGAAGUAUGGUCGCAAGGCCG